CCGAGUCCUGCUAUCGCAGCUAAUCUGGGUUUAUAGCAGUUUAUCUGUGCUAGCAACUCCUCAAGCAGCAACUUUCUCAGCUUGUGUCGCCUUCAGCCUUUCCUUUCUGCAAUGGGAGAUCUUGGAAAGGCUCUGGCACCCGGGGGAAUGUGCCCCUGUUCGAGGAGUCCCUUUGCUGUGGAAGUUGUCGCUUGGAUGGGAAUAGCUGGAGGAGCAGUCGGCGCUUUUUCAUUUUGCACUAGACAAGAAAGUGUCCCUGCUGCUGGCAGGGGGCUGGACUGAAAUGAUCUUUAAAAGGUCCCUUCCCACCCAAAGCAUUCUGUGGUUCCAGUGCGAUUGGCGCUGUCCCUGCUGUGCGGAGGACACAGUAGCACUGCUCUGGAAACAGUUCUCUCCACUGCACCCUUUGCUACAGUAAGGCAGCUGGGUUUCCAUCCCAUCCAGCCUUGUACCAGCGGCUGUUGAACAAAUAGAAGCCCAAACGUCCGGCACUGUCAAGGACUUUUCAUUCUGCAUUAUCAUUUAUGCUGAUACUUGCAGAUCUGCAAACGAGCUCACAACAUAGCCUGCUUGUUUGCAAAUCUGUGGAUGACCAGAAAAUGCAGUGUAAGGACGCUGACCCUGCCUUGGUGGGGAGCACAAGGCUGGCUCCUGGGUGCUGGAAUUAUGGUGGGCAGCAGAUGGUUGAGGUGCCUGCAGGAAUGUGGGGAAUGCAAAGCACAUGUGGAUAUCUGGGCAUGUGGGGCAGAACUGGGGUUUGAGGGGGAAAGUCUGGAAUUGCUGUGAAGCAGGGGAUGACGAAAGUGCUCGGAUUGCCUGCCCUGAGGAAUUGAUGGAAGAAUUGGGGCAUUUGGGACCUUGUAGGACCAAAGCUUUUGGUAGAGGGAGUUUGGUGUGGCGGUGGCUCCCUCUGCUCUGGCCCUGCUGUUGCCAUUACCUUUGCUUGCUCUUCCUGGGUGCCCUUUUUCCCUCAGCCAGGGGGAUGAGCUCCGUCCUGCUGCUGCCAGCCCUGUGAACCUGCGUUUCCCCAGAUGUGGAGUUUCCUGCUGGACACGGAGUGGGCAGCCCAGGGGCUGGGCACAGGCUGCAGCUGUGGGUGCCGGGUGGGUUUGUUAAGCCCAGGCUUUGCAACAGACCCUUCUGUCAGAGAAAGCAGGAGCUUGAAAACCUUUAAGUUAUGCCUUUGCCUUUUAAAUUCACAUGGUGAUGAUUUUUACUAUGGCACAAUGACAUUUAAGAUUCUUUUAUCUUAAAGCAAGAGAUAUUUAGAAUGAAGUGCUCUGCGUGGGAAACCAUAUCCCAAGUGAGCUUGUUGUCCCAGCAAAUGCCUGUUGGGACGUGAGGGGCGGAUGUGGAGGGCCUUGCUGUGUGGUCACACACUGUGGAGCUGCCUUGGCCUCUGCUGAGAUUUCCACCCGUUCCCUUCUGGGUCUCUGCUGGCAGGACAGGCUUUCCACGCUGAGAAGAGAUUUGAGCUUGGCACAGAGUCAGAGGAUUCACGGAGAGGAGCGCGUGCCUGGGGAGGGAAUGUGGCUUCCUUCCUUUUCCUUUUGGCUCAAUAAAUCUUAGCCCAUUUCCAA
This is a long non-coding RNA of Melospiza melodia melodia, 1580 nucleotides long. RefSeq lists it as uncharacterized. The transcript is spliced from 2 exons. Lineage: Eukaryota; Metazoa; Chordata; Aves; Passeriformes; Passerellidae. The record is from RefSeq and is a predicted model, not a curated record.